Molecule: long non-coding RNA, 2017 nt
Organism: Ictalurus punctatus (channel catfish)
Lineage: Eukaryota; Metazoa; Chordata; Actinopteri; Siluriformes; Ictaluridae
Source: Ensembl
GUUAAACUGUGUUCCUAUUGAUUUUGUCUCAGUCAUCAUUUCAAUCAUCAAUCCUUUAUAACUCUGUGCUAGAGACAUUAAAAUGCAUGCUACUUCCCUGGGCUAUACUGGCAAUAAGUUUUAUAGGUCCCAUUUUUAUGCUGUAUUUUAUUUAGUUUGAUAUUCUUCUGCAAAUAUGCACAGAUACAGCAGGCAGUCUUGUAUUAGGCAUUGCAACAUGGGAACAAAUUGGAAGGCUACUAGUGUUGAGUUUAAAAGUAAAGCUGCCAGUGAGACCCCCACCGAUCUCCCCAUACUUAGUGCUUUAUGGUGCACGACUUCACGGAAACCAUGUGACUUUCCCACAUAGCAAAACAGAGGGAGAAGAGGAGGAAAAGGGGGAAGGGGAUCAAUGGAGGUACAAGGACGUCUUUGACAGCAAGGGGUAGAAAACGCAAAGAAAGAUUAAAAUGGUGCGGAGAGGAGAGGGGGACAGGAGAGUCACAGGGCAAGACCUAAUUUAGGAUGAAAGAAAGAAGACAAAGGGACCGUGAGAAAGCUGAGAGACAAUCCUGACCGUAAAUCCUGUCUGCAAAACAAAGGCAGGUUUGGCACUGCCAUCAUCCUUGGAGAUUGACUUCCUGCUCGGAACCAAUAAAGGAGGAAGAAAAAAACAGUAAAGGCUCAGCAAGUGCUGGCAGAUGGCAGGUCUUACUUUGCCCGAGGGUUUAUGGUUAUUGGAAAGGCGUCAUCCCCUCUCUGCUUUCCGAGAAGGAGUCAAUAUUUCUCUGUCUCUUCUUUUCACAGUUAAUCCAAUUUUGUGUCAGAAAAAAACAGCUCAGCUGAGAGAUCCAGCAUAUUUCUGCAGCAUGUACAGAGCAAGCAUGUGGGCAAACACACACACACACACACACACACACACACACACACACACACACACACACACACACACACACACACAAGAAAGUGUGUGACUCUGGGUUUCUUUCCUUACAUACAUAACUGAUUAAAAGGAAACUGUCAUCAUCUUCUACCUCUUCUUCUACUUGAAGCUUCUGCACCCUCUGCUGCUGUGGAUGGUACCACACUGAUACCCUAAAGAUUGCAGUCCUCAAAGAUGAUUAUGUCCAAGACUUACCCUUUCUUUAGUGGAUAAUCCCAUGUGGGUACUGUAGAUUUAUACUCAAGAACUGCUUCUGUAAUUGUAAAGACUAUUCCGUGCUCAUUUCAGGACUCUUAUUUAUAAUAUGCUCAUACUGAACAUCUUUUCAACACACUUAUUACUGUUUGACUUUCCACUUCUACAACUGCAUACGGUAAUGAUUUAUAAUCCCACUUUCAGUUACACCCACAAGAAAGUGGGUUAUCUUUGUAAGAAUGUAAUAAAAGUGCUAUGCAAAUAAACUAAAUUGAAUAAUCAUCAUCCAACCCCACUCAAAAUGAAUUUCCAUUAGAAUAGUAAAAAAAAAAAAGAAAAAAAAGAAAGAUUAUCUGCAGUUACUGCAAAAGUAUAAUUUUUUGAAAGGAUGUGACAUUGCAGAGAAAUACACAAAAUCUGUUCAAAUAUUAAUUACAAGGGGAUGAAAGGAUGAAUAUUGAUUCAUCUUCAGUAAUUGCUUCUCAGAGUCAUGGUGGAUCCAGAGCGUAUCACAGGAACAAUGGGUGUGAGGCAGUAAUUCAUCCUUGAUGUGCCUCCAGCCCAUUGCAGGUCACCGUACACAUACACUUCACACACUGCUUCAUAGCUAGGGGCAAUUAAGAGUCCAGAAUGUUUUUUGUUGGAAGUGAGAAGAACACGGAGAACCUGUAGGAAAUGAAUGUGUACAUAACAAGAACAUGUGAAACUCCACACAUACAGCAACACGAGUUCAGGAUUUAAUUUACUUCAUAAAAUUAAUACUGCAACAAAUGAUAUUACCAAAUCAUGAUAAGAUUACUUAGACAUAUUUACUAAAUUCAAGCUUUCUAUUAGCAGUUAAUUUAGCUCCUUUCAAGAAAUAAACACUAUCUCAAAAUAAGCAAAAUGAUCUGCCAGGGG